Molecule: ribosomal RNA, 496 nt
Filed under: uncultured bacterium
Lineage: Bacteria
Description: partial 16S ribosomal RNA
Rfam family: Bacterial small subunit ribosomal RNA
Source: RNAcentral
GAUGAACGCUGGCGGCGUGCCUAAUACAUGCAAGUCGAGCGAACAGACGAGGAGCUUGCUCCUCUGACGUUAGCGGCGGACGGGUGAGUAACACGUGGAUAACCUACCUAUAAGACUGGGAUAACUUCGGGAAACCGGAGCUAAUACCGGAUAAUAUAUUGAACCGCAUGGUUCAAUAGUGAAAGACGGUUUUGCUGUCACUUAUAGAUGGAUCCGCGCCGCAUUAGCUAGUUGGUAAGGUAACGGCUUACCAAGGCAACGAUGCGUAGCCGACCUGAGAGGGUGAUCGGCCACCUUGAAACUGAGACACGGUCCAGACCCCUACGGGAGGCAGCAGUAGGGAAUCUGCCGCAAUGGGCGAAAGCUUGACGGAGCAACGCCGCGUGAGUGAUGAAGGUCUUCGGAUCGUAAAACUCUGUUAUUAGGGAAGAACAAAUGUGUAAGUAACUAUGCACGUCUUGACGGUACCUAAUCAGAAAGCCACGGCUAACUACGU